RNAcentral lists this transfer RNA (69 nucleotides) under Bos taurus (domestic cattle). It matches the Rfam family "tRNA". Rfam says of the family: Transfer RNA (tRNA) molecules are approximately 80 nucleotides in length. Their secondary structure includes four short double-helical elements and three loops (D, anti-codon, and T loops). The record is from Rfam by way of RNAcentral. RNAcentral also lists the same sequence under 1 other name. Lineage: Eukaryota; Metazoa; Chordata; Mammalia; Artiodactyla; Bovidae.
CCUGGUGACUCAGAAGGUAAAGCGUCUGCCUGCAAUGCAGGAGACCCGGGUUUGAUUCCUGGGUCAGGA